RNAcentral lists this ribosomal RNA (468 nucleotides) under uncultured bacterium. RNAcentral describes it as "partial 16S ribosomal RNA". It matches the Rfam family "Bacterial small subunit ribosomal RNA", at positions 28 to 507 of the family's 1533-position model. The record is from RNAcentral.
GACGAACGCUGGCGGUGUGCUUAACACAUGCAAGUCGAACGGAAAGGCCCUGCUUUUGUGGGGUGCUCGAGUGGCGAACGGGUGAGUAACACGUGAGUAACCUGCCCUGGACUUUGGGAUAACUUCAGGAAACUGGGGCGAAUACCGGAUAGGAGCUCCUGCUGCAUGGUGGGGGGUGGAAAGUUUCGGCGGUUGGGGAUGGACUCGCGGCUUAUCAGCUUGUUGGUGGGGGAGUGGCGUACCGAGGCUGUGGAGGGUAGCCGGCCUGAGAGGGUGACCGGCCACAUUGGGACUGGGAUACGGCCCAGACUCCUACGGGAGGCAGCAGUGGGGGAUAUUGCACCAUGGGCGGAAGCCUGAUGCAGCAACGCCGCGUGCGGGAUGACGGCCUUCGGGUUGUAAACCGCUUUCGCCUGUGACGAAGCGUGAGUGACGGUAAUGGGUAAAGAAGCACCGGCUAACUACGUG